This 253-nucleotide ribosomal RNA is filed under the name uncultured bacterium. RNAcentral's name for it is "partial 16S ribosomal RNA". It matches the Rfam family "Bacterial small subunit ribosomal RNA", at positions 524 to 776 of the family's 1533-position model. The record is from RNAcentral.
UACGAAGGGGGCUAGCGUUGCUCGGAAUUACUGGGCGUAAAGCGCACGUAGGCGGCUUUCUAAGUCGGGGGUGAAAUCCUGGAGCUCAACUCCAGAACUGCCUUCGAUACUGGAGAGCUCGAGUCCGGGAGAGGUGAGUGGAACUGCGAGUGUAGAGGUGAAAUUCGUGGAUAUUCGCAAGAACACCAGUGGCGAAGGCGGCUCACUGGCCCGGUACUGACGCUGAGGUGCGAAAGCGUGGGGAGCAAACAGG